AAUGCUGUGAUGAGAUGAACACCUUUUUGGUGUUUUGGGCAGUGGGUAAAAGUUGGAUUUUUAAUCCUUCUCCGUGAGCCCUCUAAUUAACGACUUCUCCUUCCACUGAGCAUU
This 114-nucleotide small nucleolar RNA is filed under the name Ipomoea nil (Japanese morning glory). RNAcentral's name for it is "Small nucleolar RNA Z152/R70/R12/". It matches the Rfam family "Small nucleolar RNA Z152/R70/R12/". From Rfam's summary of the family: Z152 is a member of the C/D class of snoRNA which contain the C (UGAUGA) and D (CUGA) box motifs. Most of the members of the box C/D family function in directing site-specific 2'-O-methylation of substrate RNAs. This family also contains snos R70 and R12 from Arabidopsis thaliana. Lineage: Eukaryota; Viridiplantae; Streptophyta; Magnoliopsida; Solanales; Convolvulaceae. The record is from Rfam by way of RNAcentral.